CUUUAGAUACCCGGGUAGUCCACACCGUAAACGAUGUAUGCCAGACGUCAGCAAGCAUGCUUGUUGGUGUCACACCUAACGGAUUAAGCAUUCCGCCUGGGGAGUACGGUCGCAAGAUUAAAACUCAAAGGAAUUGACGGGGGCCCGCACAAGCGGUGGAGCAUGUGGUUUAAUUCGACGCAACGCGCAGAACCUUACCAACCCUUGACAUACUUGUCGCGGAUUCCAGAGAUGGAUUCCUUCAGUUCGGCUGGACAAUGUACAGGUGCUGCAUGGCCGCCGUCAG
Molecule: ribosomal RNA, 286 nt
Filed under: uncultured bacterium
Lineage: Bacteria
Description: partial 16S ribosomal RNA
Rfam family: Bacterial small subunit ribosomal RNA
Source: RNAcentral